CCAACUUAGACCUAGUUAUGACAGUCCUGAUUCUCCACUCGGUUAUACCGGUUUUAUGCUGGGAACCUGCUGCCAGCCUACUCGUGUUUCUUCAGGAAGACCCAAGCAUGUCCCACCAAGGAAGGAUGGUCCUGGAAUACAGCACUAGACUGCAACGGGAGAGACCGGGCUUUGGUUUCCAGCUUUGUCCCAUACUUCCUGUGUGACCUUGGCAGCCUCCCUGCCAAUAGGUGCCGCGGCUCUGCUUUCACAGGUGCACGGGAGCCACACAGAGGGACCAGCCAGACCCUCCCA
Long non-coding RNA from Mauremys reevesii (Reeves's turtle), 294 nucleotides. RefSeq lists it as uncharacterized. NCBI's taxonomy places the organism in Eukaryota, Metazoa, Chordata, Testudines, Geoemydidae. The transcript has 3 exons. The record is from RefSeq and is a predicted model, not a curated record.